Ameiurus melas (black bullhead) is the source of this 81-nucleotide non-coding RNA. Lineage: Eukaryota; Metazoa; Chordata; Actinopteri; Siluriformes; Ictaluridae. The record is from the annotation of a GenBank genome assembly.
GUAGUUGUGCCGCAGUGGUUAUGGCGUGGACUUGAAAUCCAUUGGGGUCUCCCUGCGCUGGUUCAAAUCCUGCCAACUACG